This 308-nucleotide ribosomal RNA is filed under the name uncultured fungus. RNAcentral describes it as "eukaryotic LSU rRNA". The stretch from base 1 to 71 matches the Rfam family "5.8S ribosomal RNA", at positions 84 to 154 of the family's 154-position model. The record is from RNAcentral. Lineage: Eukaryota; Fungi.
GUGAAUCAUCGAAUCUUUGAACGCACAUUGCGCUCUCUGGUAUUCCGGAGAGCAUGCCUGUUUGAGCGUCAUUAAACUCCUCAAUCUUAUACUUUUUCGAGUAUGAGACUGGUCCUGGGCAGCGUGCGGGAAGAUCGUACUUGUCCGAAAUGGAUUGCAAAGAAGACUUCGUAAUAAAAAAACUAUUUUGUUCUCGAAGGCUUUUGGCAAUAUCAAAGCAGCCCCUUAAGUCGGGGCAGCAAAUUCUAAUUUUGACCUCAAAUCAGGUAGGACUACGCGCUGAACUUAAGCAUAUCAAUAAGCGGAGG